Molecule: ribosomal RNA, 492 nt
Filed under: uncultured bacterium
Lineage: Bacteria
Description: partial 16S ribosomal RNA
Rfam family: Bacterial small subunit ribosomal RNA
Source: RNAcentral
AUUGAACGCUGGCGGCAUGCCUUACACAUGCAAGUCGAACGGUAACAGGUUAAGCUGACGAGUGGCGAGCGGGUGAGUAAUGUAUCGGAACGUGCCCAGUCGUGGGGAUAACUGUUCGAAAGAGCAGCUAAUACCGCAUACGACCUGAGGGUGAAAGCGGGGGAUCGCAAGACCUCGCGCGAUUGGAGCGGCCGAUAUCAGAUUAGGUAGUUGGUGAGGUAAAGGCUCACCAAGCCGACGAUCUGUAGCUGGUCUGAGAGGACGACCAGCCACACUGGGACUGAGACACGGCCCAGACUCCUACGGGAGGCAGCAGUGGGGAAUGUUGGACAAUGGGCGCAAGCCUGAUCCAGCCAUGCCGCGUGCGGGAAGAAGGCCUUCGGGUUGUAAACCGCUUUUGUCAGGGAAGAAAAGGUUCUGGCUAAUACCUGGGACUCAUGACGGUACCUGAAGAAUAAGCACCGGCUAACUACGUGCCAGCAGCCGCCGUAA